Molecule: ribosomal RNA, 388 nt
Filed under: uncultured bacterium
Lineage: Bacteria
Description: bacterial SSU rRNA
Rfam family: Bacterial small subunit ribosomal RNA
Source: RNAcentral
AACGAACGCUGGCGGCGCGCCUAAUACAUGCAAGUCGAGCGAGAAGACGUAGCAAUACGUUUGUAAAGCGGCGAACGGGUGAGGAAUACAUGGGUAACCUACCCUCGAGUGGGGAAUAACUAGCCGAAAGGUCAGCUAAUACCGCGUACGCUCCUUGGACUUCGGUUCAGGGAGGAAAGCGAUACCGUGGGUAUCGCGCUCUUGGAUGGGCUCAUGUCCUAUCAGCUUGUUGGGAGGUAACGGCUCACCAAGGCUUCGACGGGUAGCUGGUCUGAGAGGACGAUCAGCCACACUGGCACUGCGACACGGGCCAGACUCCUACGGGAGGCAGCAGUAAGGAAUAUUGCGCAAUGGGCGAAAGCCUGACGCAGCGACGCCGCGUGGGGGA